This 435-nucleotide ribosomal RNA is filed under the name uncultured bacterium. Its description in RNAcentral is "partial 16S ribosomal RNA". It matches the Rfam family "Bacterial small subunit ribosomal RNA", at positions 29 to 507 of the family's 1533-position model. The record is from RNAcentral.
AGCGAACGCUGGCGGCAGGCUUAACACAUGCAAGUCGAACGCAUCACUUCGGUGGUGAGUGGCAGACGGGUGAGUAACACGUGGGAACGUACCCUUCGAUCUGGGAUAACUUCGGGAAGCUGGAGCUAAUACCGGAUACGCCCUUUUUGGGAAAGGUUUACUGUCGAAGGAUCGGCCCGCGUCUGAUUAGCUAGUUGGUGGGGUAACGGCCUACCAAGGCGACGACCAGUAGCUGGUCUGAGAGGAUGAUCAGCCACACUGGGACUGAGACACGGCCCAGACUCCUACGGGAGGAAGCAGUGGGGAAUAUUGGACAAUGGGCGCAAGCCUGAUCCAGCCAUGCCGCGUAAGUGAUGAAGGCCUUAGGGUUGUAAAGCUCUUUUGUCCGGGACGAUAAUGACGGUACCGGAAGAAUAAGCCCCGGCUAACUUCGUG